UACGUAGGGGUCGAGCGUUGUCCGGAGUUACUGGGCGUAAAGCGUGCGCAGGCGGCUCAUUGCGCCCGGCGUGAAAGCCCCCGGCCUAACCGGGGAGGGUCGUCGGGUACGGGUGAGCUUGAGGGUAUCAGGGGUUGGUGGAAUUCCCGGUGUAGUGGUGAAAUGCGUAGAGAUCGGGAGGAACACCCGUGGCGAAGGCGGCCAACUGGGAUACACCUGACGCUGAGGCACGAAGGCGUGGGGAGCGAACGGG
RNAcentral lists this ribosomal RNA (253 nucleotides) under uncultured bacterium. RNAcentral's name for it is "partial 16S ribosomal RNA". It matches the Rfam family "Bacterial small subunit ribosomal RNA", at positions 524 to 776 of the family's 1533-position model. The record is from RNAcentral.